UCCAAGAUGGCGUCCUAGCCCCAUCCGGUAGUUUCCUUAUCCUCUCCCUGCGGGGCCACGCCCCUGUCGUACGCCGUUCCUACUCGUCCAAUCACUGAGAGGAAAGGCGGGUCAAAGCCGGCGCCCGCGAGAAACAUGGCGACCGUAGAGCGUUGUAGGACUCAGGUGUUUCGUCAGCGUGAAGUGUCUUGGAAACUAUGUUUCCUUAUAAGCCGAGCGCCCUAGUGCCUAUUUGUGACAAGAAGUGCUGAAUGUUAAAGGCGAGGCGGGCGCCCUGCUUCGGGUUUCGGUUUGAGGCUGAGAGCAGAGGAGUACGCUGGUCCUGGAUCCAGGACGCGGAUUGCGGGGGUGGGGCAGCAGCUUGUCCCCUUCCCCCCAGUUUCCACAAUACCUGCGAAUGUCAACGUGGCCAGAGCUGUCUACCCGUAUAGCCUCAGCUGAGUAAACGUGUCUCGAGUUUUUUAUUCCUCUCAGUCAUGAGGAAUGGAAGCAUCAGUUUAGCAGAGGAAAUGUUUGGGACUAAAAAGAGGGGGGGAAAAAAUCUAAGCCUGUUCCAAGAAAUGAAGUAAAAGCCACCGAGUACCGUGACAACCUUGUUCCUGUACCCUUUCUGGGAUAUGAACUCAUCCCAAUUAUAAUGAAACUGGCAUGGUAGACUAUAAUAUGCCUACCUGGCAUAUUUAGGGAUGAAAAAUGCAUAUUACAGUCAAGUGAAAAAACUACCACCUAACAGUUGAGAAUUGUGUUGUAUUUGGUGGCUCUUCUGAGGACUUAAGAUCGGAAGAGAGCCUCUCAGAUCUCCCUGAGGGACUACUGAAGAGGAUUGGACCCAGUAUUGAAAGAGAACAUUAGCUAUGUACUGCAUGGUGCUCUGGAAAUAACUGAAUAAAUACAGAAUGAACUGAUAAGCUAAUAAGCCUUCAAAUCCAGAACAAGCUCGCGGAGCAGGUAAAAGCAGCUGAAUUCUUGAGUGUGAUCAUAGAUGGGAACGCUGGUAUCUCUUCCAAAGAAAAUCUCCCCCUUUGUGUGCUGUUUUCACCAGAGUAAGGAAGAACUGCCAACAUCCGCUGGAUCAUCGAAAAAGCAAGAGAGUUCCAGAAAACCAUCUAUUUCUGCUUUAUUGACUAUGCCAAAGCCUUUGACUGUGUAGAUCAUAAUAAACUGUGGAAAAUUCUGAAAGAGAUGGGAAUACCAGACCACCUGACCUGCCUCUUGAGAAACCUGUAUGCAGGUCAGGAAGCAACAGUUAGAACUGGACAUGGAACAACAGACUGGUUCCAAAUAGGAAAAGGAGUAUGUCAAGCCUGUAUAUUGUCACCCUGCUUAUUUAACUUAUAUGCAAAGUACAUCAUGAGAAACGCUGGGCUGGAGGAAGCACAGGCUGGAAUCAAGA
This is a long non-coding RNA of Dama dama (fallow deer), 1393 nucleotides long. RefSeq lists it as uncharacterized. The transcript is spliced from 3 exons. Lineage: Eukaryota; Metazoa; Chordata; Mammalia; Artiodactyla; Cervidae. The record is from RefSeq and is a predicted model, not a curated record.